This 2030-nucleotide long non-coding RNA is filed under the name Homo sapiens (human). RNAcentral's name for it is "non-protein coding TUG1:52". The stretch from base 392 to 628 matches the Rfam family "Taurine upregulated gene 1 conserved region 3". Lineage: Eukaryota; Metazoa; Chordata; Mammalia; Primates; Hominidae. The record is from RNAcentral.
GCAAUGUCUCCUUUGUUUUAUUGUUGGUAUAUAAACUUAAAAUCUCAGUUCUUUUUAUGGCACUUGUGGAGCCACUUCCUCUCCUCACCAAAAAAUGCCCAGUACCCUGAAUCCGAUCAAAUUACUCUCCUAAAGUAUAAGGCUUAGUUUCUGUGUGCUGCUUCGCGAGACAGUUCCCACAAAUCGAGAGUGUUAAUCAGACUUUUGUGUUUUCUUUUUUGGAUUGCUGUUGUUUGUUUUCAUUUAUCAUUUGUCUUUGCCUAAGCCAGGCUCAUCAAGAAUUAACAGCCAUCAGGCUGCCGAUGUGCUGACAGCAGACCCACUUAGAGUCCUGUGUUUGUAAUUCCAUGCAUUUGUUAUUUUACCUGUUUUGUCCCUGCCCCUUCUAGUCCUGUGCCUCCUGAUUGCUGAGUGUUCACCUGGACCUUCUGACUACCUUCCCUGUGCUAUUCCAUCAGCCUACAGACCUGGUACCUGGAUUUUUGCCCGAGAUGAUUCCUACCACCUUACUACUGACGAAGACACCCAUUCCAGUGGACCACUGUGACCCAGGAGGCAUUCAGCCAUCAUGAUGUGGCCUUUACCUCCACUCCUGUCUUGUUCUACCCAGAUUCAGCACAGCCCUUUAUAGUGAAGUCAGAGUCCUCAAGCCAAAUAGCUAAAGCUGUUUUAUCACAACAAAGGCCUAGUUUGUUCCAUGAGUGUGCAUUUCAUUUCUUCAGUUAAAGCCUUCAGAGACACACAAUAAAUUUGGACCAGGGGAUUUUUUAGUUAUUAAUGCUCUCUGAAGAAAGGCAACAUCUUUUUGAGAGCAGCAUUGGACCACACCCCACAAUCUCAAAUGAUUGAAAUUCAUGAACAUCUAGGAUCCCGUGAAGGUCACUGGACCCUGUUUUUUCUACUUCAAAUCCUGUAGUAGCCUACUGAAUGAGAAAACAUAUUCUGACCCAUUGGGAUCAAAUCAAAGGCACAGUGAACUCCUCAUAGCAUCUUCUUUGGAAUUACUCAGGAACCAGAACUUUUUACACAAAUGUAAGAAAUUCUACCAAGGAGUCCCCUUACCUAACAGCAUCUCACAAGGCUGCACCAGAUUCCAGAAAAGGCUUCUCUUGAUACAUCAAGGUAGAACCUCUAUGCAUUUUGUGACCGACUUAUUCUUAGAUCAUUGGUUUUCCAAAGGCUUUGUGGCCAUGAAGCCCUUUGAGUGAAAACUGUGCAGAAGCCCAGAGUAAAAGUGAAGCUGCUCUGGAUGAAGUAGUGAAGCAAGAGUAGGGGCCUGAAUCCUGCUACAACUAUCUUCCUUUACCACCGUGGUGACACCUAAGGGGACUUCCUUACAACACCUUGAACUCUUCCGAACACAGUUUGAAAACCACUGCCCCAGACAGCAAUAUGUUUGACCUGAAUGGCAUUCCAAUCUUUUCUGUACCUCCACUCAGCACAGUUCAUGUUCAGUAGAUGCUGAACAUUCUUAGAAAUACUGUGUGUGAACUUAGAAAAGUGCAAGAAGACAGGCAUGUCUUUGACCCCAGGAAUGAUCAUUUGCUGAAGAUGGUGUCAAGUGAACCUAGAUUAACAGCCCUCCACUCCAGAUGGAUAUCCAGUGAUUCCUAGAAUGGGAUAUAGCCAGAGAACAAUUCUAUGCACCCUACACUGACAGACUCCCUUAAGCAACACCAGAUGCUCUACUGGUACUUGAAGUACAUGACUUUGAAGUCUUGACCCUCCAUGAAUACCUGAAUUAUCAGCAAGCGGGUUUUGAAGCUGGUGCCUCAUUGAGGCCAUAUUAGAGCAACUUGUACAUUUGACCUCUUGUUAUCAGCCAUGGUACUCUACUUCGUGUGCAAGAGAUAACUAUGAAAGCCAAAUUCAAAUACUGGCAACAUUUCCUAAAGGGGCUCAAUAUCUAUCAUUCGUCUUCUUUUCCAAACUACACAUCACUGUAUGACUCAACCAGUAGCAGUUAUAUUGCCCCUUGGUUUUUAUUCAGUUUAACUACUGUUUCCAAGAUAAAUGAGCUAAUAAGCUUU